RNAcentral lists this ribosomal RNA (253 nucleotides) under uncultured bacterium. RNAcentral's name for it is "partial 16S ribosomal RNA". It matches the Rfam family "Bacterial small subunit ribosomal RNA", at positions 524 to 776 of the family's 1533-position model. The record is from RNAcentral.
UACGUAGGGCGCAAGCGUUGUCCGGAAUUAUUGGGCGUAAAGAGCUCGUAGGCGGCCAACUAAGUCAUACGUGAAAUCCCUCGGCUUAACCGGGGAACUGCGUCUGAUACUGGAUGGCUUGAGUUCGGGAGAGGGAUGCGGAAUUCCAGGUGUAGCGGUGAAAUGCGUAGAUAUCUGGAGGAACACCGGUGGCGAAGGCGGCAUCCUGGACCGAUACUGACGCUGAGGAGCGAAAGCCAGGGGAGCAAACGGG